UACACGCUGUGACUAGCAUAUCAAUAAGCGGAGGAAAAGAUCACAUUUUGGUUACCUACGCUUGGGAUGUUGACGAGACUGUCGAUCUCAUCUAUACAUGACUCUGUGCAUAUCAAUAAGCGGAGGAAAAGAAACUAACAAGGAUUCCCCUAGUAACGGCGAGUGAAGCGGGAAGAGCUCAAAUUUGAAAUCUUAAAGGGUUUCCCUUUACGAAUUGUAGUUUAAAGAAGUGUUUUCUGUUGAGGUUUUGGUAAAAGUUCUUUGGAAUAGGACAUCAUAGAGGGUGAGAAUCCCGUAUUUGACCUUUACUUUCAACUUUGUGAUACACUUUCAAGGAGUCGGAUUGUUUGGGAAUGCAGUCCAAAAUGGGUGGUAAAUUUCAUCUAAAGCUAAAUAUUGGCGAGAGACCGAUAGCGAACAAGUACCGUGAGGGAAAGAUGAAAAGAACUUUGAAAAGAGAGUUAAACAGUACGUGAAAUUGUCAAAAGGGAAGCGUUUGACACCAGUGUUGUUUUUCUGAAAAUCAAUUAAAGAACUGUUUAUGCUAAGUUGUUUAGACUUUAUCAGCUAACUGUUUAGUCUUGAGCUUUUCUUUAAUGCACUUUUCAGUUAACAAGUCAACAUCAAUUUCUUUUGCUGUAAAAAAGCUUGAGGAAGGUGGCUUGAGAUUCGUCCUAAGUGUUUAUAGCCUCUUGCCUAUGCAGUCGGAGAGAUUGAGGUCUGCAGCGUAGAUCCUUCGGGGCUAAAUGCAUUUGUGCUAAGUUAUAGCAUUUAUAGACAACUUGUUGACUAUGAUUUGUCUUGUAGCUUACUCGCUUAUGUUAUUUUACCUACGCUUAGGAUGUUGACAGCAGUAUAGACUGU
RNAcentral lists this ribosomal RNA (864 nucleotides) under uncultured Neocallimastigales. RNAcentral's name for it is "partial large subunit ribosomal RNA". It matches the Rfam family "Eukaryotic large subunit ribosomal RNA", at positions 1 to 637 of the family's 3401-position model. Lineage: Eukaryota; Fungi; Neocallimastigomycota; Neocallimastigomycetes; Neocallimastigales. The record is from RNAcentral.